ACCCUCCAGUUCCCUUUCCCAUUGGAUCAAAACCCUGGUCCGGGUGGUUGUAAAAGGAGGAAAGAAGCAUCGAAACUGCCCCUCAGUGCUCCUGGAGCUUGGGCUAGUUUCAAACGGUC
Molecule: small nucleolar RNA, 119 nt
Organism: Echinops telfairi (small Madagascar hedgehog)
Lineage: Eukaryota; Metazoa; Chordata; Mammalia; Afrosoricida; Tenrecidae
Source: Ensembl